RNAcentral lists this ribosomal RNA (465 nucleotides) under uncultured bacterium. RNAcentral describes it as "partial 16S ribosomal RNA". It matches the Rfam family "Bacterial small subunit ribosomal RNA", at positions 28 to 507 of the family's 1533-position model. The record is from RNAcentral.
GACGAACGCUGGCGGCGUGCUUAACACAUGCAAGUCGAACGGAAAGGCCCCUUCGGGGGUACUCGAGUGGCGAACAGGUGAGUAACACGUGAGUAACCUGCCCUUGACUUCGGGAUAACUUCAGGAAACUGGGGCUAAUACCGGAUAGGAAUCCUUGCUGCAUGGUGGGGGUUGGAAAGCUUCGGCGGUUUUGGAUGGACUCGCGGCUUAUCAGCUUGUUGGUGGGGUAGUGGCUUACCAAGGCUUUGACGGGUAGCCGGCCUGAGAGGGCGACCGGCCACAUUGGGACUGAGAUACGGCCCAGACUCCUACGGGAGGCAGCAGUGGGGAAUAUUGCACAAUGGGCGGAAGCCUGAUGCAGCAACGCCGCGUGCGGGAGGACGGCCUUCGGGUUGUAAACCGCUUUCAGCAGGGGCGAAGCUUGUGGUGACGGUACCUGCAGAAGAAGCACCGGCUAACUACGUG